Molecule: non-coding RNA, 396 nt
Organism: Castor canadensis (American beaver)
Lineage: Eukaryota; Metazoa; Chordata; Mammalia; Rodentia; Castoridae
Source: the annotation of a RefSeq genome assembly
GGUCAAUUCCUAAAAAUGAGGUGCCCUGCUGAGCUCCUAGGGCUGUUAAUGCUCUGUAUCCCUGGAUCCAGUGGGGACAUUGUGAUGACCCAGACUCCACUCUCCUUGCCUGUCACUCUUGGAGAGCCAGCUUCCAUCUCCUGCAGGUCUAGUAAGAGUCUCCUGCAUAGUGAUGGAACCACUUACUUAUAUUGGUAUCUGCAGAGACCAGGCCAGUCUCCACAGCUCCUGAUCUAUAAGGGUUCCAACAGGGCCUCUGGAGUCCCAGACAGGUUCAGUGGCAGUGGCUCAGGGACAGAUUUCACACUCAAAAUCAGCAGAGUGGAGGUUGAGGAUGUUGGAGUUUAUUUCUGUUUGCAAGCUGUAGAAUGGCCUCACACAGUGAUACAGCCCUAA